UACGAAGGGUGCAAGCGUUACUCGGAAUUACUGGGCGUAAAGCGUGCGUAGGUGGUUUGUUAAGUCUGCUGUGAAAGCCCCGGGCUCAACCUGGGAAUGGCAGUGGAUACUGGCAAGCUAGAGUGCGGUAGAGGGGUGUGGAAUUCCCGGUGUAGCGGUGAAAUGCGUAGAGAUCGGGAGGAACACCAGUGGCGAAGGCGGCACCCUGGACCAGCACUGACACUGAGGCACGAAAGCGUGGGGAGCAACCAGG
Molecule: ribosomal RNA, 253 nt
Filed under: uncultured bacterium
Lineage: Bacteria
Description: partial 16S ribosomal RNA
Rfam family: Bacterial small subunit ribosomal RNA
Source: RNAcentral